This 651-nucleotide ribosomal RNA is filed under the name Staphylococcus aureus. RNAcentral describes it as "partial 23S ribosomal RNA". It matches the Rfam family "Bacterial large subunit ribosomal RNA", at positions 587 to 1242 of the family's 2925-position model. The record is from RNAcentral. Lineage: Bacteria; Bacillati; Bacillota; Bacilli; Caryophanales; Staphylococcaceae.
UAAUGGGUGAUGGCGUGCCUUUUGUAGAAUGAACCGGCGAGUUACGAUUUGAUGCAAGGUUAAGCAGUAAAUGUGGAGCCGUAGCGAAAGCGAGUCUGAAUAGGGCGUUUAGUAUUUGGUCGUAGACCCGAAACCAGGUGAUCUACCCUUGGUCAGGUUGAAGUUCAGGUAACACUGAAUGGAGGACCGAACCGACUUACGUUGAAAAGUGAGCGGAUGAACUGAGGGUAGCGGAGAAAUUCCAAUCGAACCUGGAGAUAGCUGGUUCUCUCCGAAAUAGCUUUAGGGCUAGCCUCAAGUGAUGAUUAUUGGAGGUAGAGCACUGUUUGGACGAGGGGCCCCUCUCGGGUUACCGAAUUCAGACAAACUCCGAAUGCCAAUUAAUUUAACUUGGGAGUCAGAACAUGGGUGAUAAGGUCCGUGUUCGAAAGGGAAACAGCCCAGACCACCAGCUAAGGUCCCAAAAUAUAUGUUAAGUGGAAAAGGAUGUGGCGUUGCCCAGACAACUAGGAUGUUGGCUUAGAAGCAGCCAUCAUUUAAAGAGUGCGUAAUAGCUCACUAGUCGAGUGACACUGCGCCGAAAAUGUACCGGGGCUAAACAUAUUACCGAAGCUGUGGAUUGUCCUUUGGACAAUGGUAGGAGAGCGUUCU